This 467-nucleotide ribosomal RNA is filed under the name uncultured bacterium. RNAcentral describes it as "partial 16S ribosomal RNA". It matches the Rfam family "Bacterial small subunit ribosomal RNA", at positions 28 to 506 of the family's 1533-position model. The record is from RNAcentral.
GACGAACGCUGGCGGCGUGCUUAACACAUGCAAGUCGAACGGAAAGGCCCUGCUUUUGUGGGGUGCUCGAGUGGCGAACGGGUGAGUAACACGUGAGUAACCUGCCCUUGACUUUGGGAUAACUUCAGGAAACUGGGGCUAAUACCGGAUAGGAGCUCCUGCUGCAUGGGGGGUGUUGGAAAGUUUCGGCGGUUGGGGAUGGACUCGCGGCUUAUCAGCCUGUUGGUGGGCGAGUGGCUUACCAAGGCUUUGCCGGGUAGCCGGCCUGAGAGGGUGACCGGCCACAUUGGGACUGAGAUACGGCCCAGACUCCUACGGGAGGCAGCAGUGGGGAAUAUUGCACAAGGGGCCGAAGCAGGAUGCAGCAACGCCGCGUGCGGGAUGACGGCCUUCGGGUUGUAAACCGCUUUCGCCUGUGACGAAGCGUGAGUGACGGUAAUGGGUAAAGAAGCACCGGCUAACUACGU